CUGAAUCAAGAGCACACAAGAUAAGACUCUGGAGAAAAAUCUAGUUUUUUGUUAGGUCUGGGGAGACUGCUCAAGGAGUUCUGAUCAGUAGAUUUAUCUGGAGAGGUAUUCUAGAAUGCCUAGUGUUAAAUUCCACAUUGCUUUAGGUCCUUGGAUGUCUGGAGGAGGAUGCUGGUUAGAGGAAGAAUCCCCUGAACUCAUCAAGCAAAAAAUAAGUGCAGAAGUAGCAAAUCCUUCCUUGCCCUCAGGAUACUUUUGUAGAAACAGGAAAAGGGCUGAAUUUUUUCAUCUGAGUUGACAAACAGCAAAAGAGAAUAUGGAAGUGGAAGCUGGUGAUCGAGGAGAAAUGAGAAAUGGCCGAAACCAUUGGGAAGGCAUCAUAAACCUUGGUAGGUGCUCAUGGCCAUUCCAGUACUUCAAAUGAAAGCAGAAGUGUGAAGGAAGCCACAUGGAACGAGACAGAAACACAGGGUGCUCAAUGGCAGAGUUUAGACUGUUGCCUCACCUUCUCAGUAAAGCAGAAACCUUCAAGAAGCCAUCGGAGCUCUCUCCCUCUUUGACGUGGGAAGACUCAAGACAACGCAUGCUGUAGUCAUUGGUGCUGCCACGUUCCCAUCAUCCAUCUGCCCUCUUUUCUCAGCUGAUACUUCCAUCUACUCCUUGAUGAUUCCUCAGAAAGUCUCUUCGUCAUCUUGUGCUUCAUUUCUACACCUAUAGAAAUUGGUCAGAAUGAAACUAUAAAGUUUACACAUGAAAUAAAAUGAGGAUAUUUGAAAUUGCAAGUGGCCAGUACAAGCCAAACGUGGCUCAUGUAAUGGGUAAGCCUGGUGGUGGUUCAUGCUUCAGGCAUGACUGGCGGCAUCCGGGGGUUCAAAUGAUGUUUCCCUCAUCCUGCAUGUGGGCUCUCCCCUCAAGGUAGGGAAAAAAUGAGCUCUAGCCAUCGCAGAAUCACACUGACCCAGUUAAACUGUCCCAGAAGGAAGAGGUACUUCUCUCCACCUGUGUCCAUAUAUGCCUUCAGGGAAGGUGCCUGCUCAGAUCACUUGCCCUUCCUCUGUCCAUUGCCAUUGCAGAGGAAUCCUGGAAUAAUUUUGUUCUCGUGAGCAGGGACAACAUGAUUGACCACACGUGAAAUAGGUGGUGAUGGUGGCGGCUGUCACUUCCAGAAAUAAGGGUGCUAGUUAGAUGAAAGCAAUGGGAUCCUCUCCAUCCACCCGCGUACCCAUGCAGCCAGCUACCCAGACAAGUGGGCAGUCAUUCACUGACAGCGUAUUGUAGCCAUCGCAGUAUGCUAAGCCAUGUCUGAGAUUCCUAAGGACAGUGAGACACAACUCACAAAUCAAGACGGCGCAAGGUCAGAAGAGCUAAGCGGGGUAAGGGAGACGGUGGAAAGCCUACGAACGUUCAGCUGAAGGAACUAUUCCCUAUAGCUAGGGGAAAUUGGGAAUGACUUCUCAGAGAUAGCAUAGUGAUGUAGUGCAUGUGUUACUGGCACUUAAAAACUAGGGUUUGAUUCGUGGCUCCUCUAGUUAUUAGCUGUGUAACAUUGGCACUCUUUAGAUUCGCUUCACUGUCUCCAAAAGGGGAGUAAGAUAGGAUCUGCCUCAUAGGGACAUGGUGUGGAGAUGAGGCACGUGUGAGCUUUUAGCAUCACGCCUGGCGUGAAACAAAAGUUCAACGAAUGGCAGAUGUCAUGGUUUUGUUGCAGUGGUUUUGAGAGCUUUAUUUGAAAAGUUGCACCUGGAAAAGAAAUGUGGCAUCCUUAAUGACAUUUGUGAAUGUCCUGAGGGUACUGAAAGCUGGCACGAUCACGAAAACACCCGUGUCUUGUUUGUAGGAAUGAGGGAGGACAGCGUCCCUGCUUUUCAUGAUGGACAGUAGCCGCAUGGUGGGUGGCAGCUGGAUUGUGUCAUACCCAGUUGUGUGCCUGAGACUGUGCGUUUCCUACUGAAGAGGACAAAGAGACCUCUAAAGAAAAAUAGACGUGAAUCAUAGGGAAAAGGGCACUGGGUCUGUUUUGGAUUAGUGGAGAGGAAAUGGGUGGAAAACAUUUGGUUGUUUGAGCAUAAGAAGAGCUAUUUAAAAAGUCCCAGGUUUGUGUGUUCUCCAGAAUGUUUCUUCCUAGUAAUAAAGCCUGCGAAGUCAUGUGACACAGGAAAAAAGAUGUAAUUUGGAUUUGGAAGAAUGGGCUUUAGUCUUGACCCGACCAGGUUCUGCUUUGUGAAUGGGGGAAAACUCACCUAGGGUGGUCAGCCUCAUUUUCCCCACCGGCAAUUCAGGGUGGUGCUCUGUCUUCCUCACAGGGUUUCAGCGGGCACGUGGGGGAAUCAAGUGACUUAAUGAAAUAUACGUUGUUGGAGGAGUCGUUAGCACUAUGGGACAGUGCAAGGACUAUUAGGCACAGGGUACAAAGGAGUGUGUAGUGAAGCCAAGACGGCACCAGGACCCCAUAUCACAGUGUGGGGCUUUUCUACCUGGGGUGUGUACCAAAGCCUGGAAUUCAUAGUCCCGUCUUUCGGGAUGACUUCUUUGCCAUGAGGGCAUUUCGAUAUAGUGUUUUUCAUUUCGUUGAAAAUCUAACAAAACAAUGUAAGCAUGUUCUACAUCAUCUGGUUCCCCUUAUAAACAAGUAUUGCCAUGCAGGGCCAGUGCCCACAUUUGCAUUGGUGUUUAUAACUGUGUUGGAGUCAAGAAGAACUACUUUGAUUGUCCCAGGCUAAAGAGCGAAGGCAGACUUUAUACACAAAUUAUAAAUCCCUGCCAAGAAAAGGCUAUGUAAUAUCAUGGGGUACUGUAGGAGCAACGUGAGGAAAUUUGCAAGUGGUGAUUUAGGGUCAGCAAAAGCCUCUCUCAUGUUACGAUUUGCAUUAGUAUGAAUUUUUAGUUUUGUUUGGAUUUACUUGUUUAUAGUCAUGAUAUUUAUCAGUAAAAGAAAGGCUCGCCUGGUUUUUUAUUGGUAUUGUGUUAAUAUUGUAAUAACAAUAAUUAUCACUUUAAAUUUUUUUUUAACGUUUAUUUAUUUUUGAGACAGAGAGAGACAGAGCAUGAAUGGGGGAGGGGCAGAGAGAGAGGGAGACACAGAAUCUGAAACAGAUUCCAGGCUCUGAGCCAUCAGCCCAGAGCCCAACGCGGGGCUCGAACUCACGGACGGCGAGAUCGUGACCUGAGCCGAAGUCGGACGCUCAACCGACUGAGCCACCCAGGCGCCCCAAUAAUUAUCACUUUAAAAGUUAUUUAAGCAAAGUUUGGGGAUUGGCAUGACUUUAUUUUUUCAUUAAAAAUGACGCUUAUGAUAUUUGUUUGAGAAACGGUAUUGUUGAAUGUAAAAGCUUGCGCUUGAAAUAAGCACACGAAAAAAUGCUUAAUAUUAUUGGUUACUGGAGGCAUGCAAAUUGAAACCACAGCACAGUAUUACCACAUGGCCAUCAGAGUUGUUACAAUGAAAAAGACUAACCCAUACCAAGUGUUGGUGAGAAUAUGGAGCCAGUAGAACUCUCGUGUGGUGCUGGGAAGAGUGAAAAAUGGUGUAGUCACUCUGGAAACCAAUCUGGUAGUUUCUCAAAGAGUUAAAGACAAUUAAUGUAUGACCCAGCCAUUCCACUCCCAGUUUUUUAUGCCAGAGAACUGAAAGCAUAUAUUCACACAAAGAUACUAUCUGAGUGCUCAUAGCCGUGUUAUUUGUAAUCGUCUCAAACGGGAAAUAAUCUAUAUGUUCAUCAACAGGUCAGUCGAUUAACAAAUGGUGGGAUAGCUGUACAAUGGGUUAUUAUUCAGCAGUAGAAAGGCGUGAACCAUUGAUACACCCUACAACAUGGAUGUAUCUCAACAUCAAUGUGCUGAGUAAAAGAAAACAGCCAAAAAAGGUACACAGUUUAUGGUUGCAUUUAUAUAAAACUCUAGAAAAUGCGAAUCAGGGUGUAUGUAGGGACAGAAAGAUCGGUGGUUGCCUGGGGGUGGGGUGGGCUCAGGGAGAGAGGGAUGACAAAAAGCAUGGUAAAGUCGGGGAGAAGGAUCAAAUCUUUUCUUGAUUGCAGCCAUGAUUUCACAGAUGUAGACAAUUCACAACUCACCACCUCAUCCCCUUUAAGUACUCAUAUUUAUCUUAUGUCAAUUAUAGUUCAAUAAAGGUGUUAAAAAAAACCCACAGUGUCCCAAAACUUGCCACCAGGCAGGCUUGGUUUUUAAUGUCAGCUUUGCCUCUCACUAUUAACGUCAGCGUGGGGAAAUUGCUUCAUUUUUUGAGCGUCAGAUGUGAAAUGGAUAUACUACCUACCCCAGAAGGCUGUCAUACAAUCAAGUGAAAUAUAUGUGCCUUCUAGCAAAGUACUCAGUACGUACUGAAUACCCAGGACGGGGUAUUAUCCUCACCCUGGAGUGGGUAUUGUACCUAGCAGAAAGCAAUGUGGGUCAUACGCGUAAACAUCUACUCUCUGAUUCUGGAGAUCAUAGCACAUUCUGUGUACUUCUGUGAGUACUUCAUUAUAAAUGUACUGCCUUCCACCUAAGAAUCUUGUAUGCAUAGAUACUAACAAUAAAAGCACCCACUGCCCAGGCUGCAUGCUAUGUU
Long non-coding RNA from Acinonyx jubatus (cheetah), 4567 nucleotides. RefSeq lists it as uncharacterized. The record is from RefSeq and is a predicted model, not a curated record. NCBI's taxonomy places the organism in Eukaryota, Metazoa, Chordata, Mammalia, Carnivora, Felidae. The transcript has 5 exons.